UGGGUGAGGAGAGUAUCCUAAGGCCAGCGAGAGAACUGUUGUUAAGGAACUCGGCAAAAUGACCCCGUAACUUAGGGAUAAGGGGUGCCACCAUCAGGUGGCCGCAGAGAAUAGGCCCAAGCGACUGUUUACCAAAAACAUAGGUUUCUGCUAAGUCGCAAGACGAUGUAUAGGAGCUGACGCCUGCCCGGUGCUGGAAGGUUAA
RNAcentral lists this ribosomal RNA (205 nucleotides) under Clostridioides difficile. RNAcentral's name for it is "partial 23S ribosomal RNA". It matches the Rfam family "Bacterial large subunit ribosomal RNA", at positions 1664 to 1880 of the family's 2925-position model. Lineage: Bacteria; Bacillati; Bacillota; Clostridia; Peptostreptococcales; Peptostreptococcaceae. The record is from RNAcentral.